CGUCGAGCUGUGGCAAGAAAGCGGUCCAGAGCAGGGCGUUGCCCUCGGGGGCCAGGCACUCCAGAACAAGGUAGGAAAGCGGACCUUGAGUGAUGCGGUGCGGAUGCUCUCGAGGGAGAGGAGUGCCCUCUCGGCCACAGCGGUCUGGAUGUCGUCGAGGCAGUGAAUGAGGUGAGGGCAAUUUCCUGCAUGGGCAGCAGCACGUCCAUCAGGUGGUUGGGGCCGUGCUCUCGGCGGAUUUGGUCGGCACAUCCCUGGCAGACGAAGAGAGGCGGCGGACGCUCGCCCGAGGCGAUGGCGAUGGAGUGGUCCAGGCACAUCUACGAAGGGGGCGGAGAGAGAGAUAUCAAAUGUGAGGGAUCGUCGGAGGUGCCCUAAUGUGAUCAGCUCUGCGUUUUGCACGAGAUAAUGAGGUAGGGAGGAAGAGGGAUAGAAACUGGCUUAUAGAAUCUUCAAGAAAACCUGCGGGAGUGAUAUAUUUGGACACUUCUGCACUUCUAUUUCUGCUAUUGGACAAAGUAAAGUUUUACAAUAAGUCUUCCUCGAAUCUAUAGUGAUUUCCCAGUGAGUAAUUUUAAACAAGUUGUUUUAUUUGUAGUGAAUUUUCGAGAAUCACUAAUUGAGUCAUUAUGCUAGAU
Molecule: long non-coding RNA, 638 nt
Organism: Ixodes scapularis (black-legged tick)
Lineage: Eukaryota; Metazoa; Arthropoda; Arachnida; Ixodida; Ixodidae
Exons: 4
Source: RefSeq, a predicted model, not a curated record